Molecule: ribosomal RNA, 480 nt
Filed under: uncultured eukaryote
Lineage: Eukaryota
Description: bacterial SSU rRNA
Rfam family: Eukaryotic small subunit ribosomal RNA
Source: RNAcentral
UUCCGGAGAGGGAGCCCGAGAAACGGCUACCACUUCCAAGGAAGGCAGCAGGCGCGCAACUUACCCUAAUCUCGAUUCGAGGAGGUAGUGACAAGAAAUACCGAUGCGGGACCCUACGGGGUGCCGCGUUCGGAAUGAGUACGAUUCGAACCACCUAACGAGGAACGAUCGGAGGGCAAGUCUGGUGCCAGCAGCCGCGGUAAUUCCAGCUCCAAUAGCGUACGUUAAAGUUGCUGCAGUUAAAAAGCUCGUAGUUGAACGUUCGGGGUUCCGCGGGACGGGGCCGCCCCGCGAGGGACGGCGCCGCCCCGGGGCUCGUGAUAUCUCAUCUCGCCGCCCGUCGCCGAGGCGGACGGAGGGAUGGGAUGAGGUUACCUGGAAAAAAUCGGGGCGAUCUAGGCGGGCGAACCUCGCCAACGAACGAUCGGACAUGGGAUAACGGAAGAGGGCGUCGGCUCGACUUCGUCGGUUCCUCGGGCC